GAUGAACGCUGGCGGCGUGCUUAACACAUGCAAGUCGAACGGAAAGGCCCAAGCUUGCUUGGGUGCUCGAGUGGCGAACGGGUGAGUAACACGUGGGUGAUCUGCCCUGCACUUUGGGAUAAGCCUGGGAAACUGGGUCUAAUACCGGAUAGGACCAUCUUUUAGUGUCGGUGGUGGAAAGUUUUUCGGUGUGGGAUGAGCUCGCGGCCUAUCAGCUUGUUGGUGGGGUAAUGGCCUACCAAGGCGUCGACGGGUAGCCGGCCUGAGAGGGUGUACGGCCACAUUGGGACUGGGAUACGGCCCAGACUCCUACGGGAGGCAGCAGUGGGGAAUAUUGCACAAUGGGCGCAAGCCUGAUGCAGCGACGCCGCGUGGGGGAUGACGGCCUUCGGGUUGUAAACUCCUUUCGCCAAGGACGAAGCGUUUUGUGACGGUACUUGGAGAAGAAGCACCGGCUAACUACGUG
Molecule: ribosomal RNA, 466 nt
Filed under: uncultured bacterium
Lineage: Bacteria
Description: partial 16S ribosomal RNA
Rfam family: Bacterial small subunit ribosomal RNA
Source: RNAcentral